CUAAACCGCUGAGCCACCCAGGAAUCCCCAGAAGAUAGUAUUUUUAGUAUUUCUUGUAUCAUUAAGAAUUAAUAAUAUAAGAAUUAAUAAUCCAGUUGUACAGUUUGGCUUCUGGCUCUUCUUAUCUGCCUUCCCUUUACCAAAGCAAUACAGAGGUACAAAUAUAUACCAAACUAACCUAAGAAUCUUCAGUGACUUUCCUAAUUGAUAACCUCACAAGAAUCCUUUGUAGUAGAAUAUUUGUAGGUGGAAAUAUAUAAAAGAUAAUUUUUGAUUUGUAGUAUGUCUUGUUUGAAAAAACAUUUUAAGGUUUUAUAACUGAGACCAUGGGUACUGUUGGAUCAUUUGGAAUCCCCUUAAAUUACAUGCAGAAUUUCAUGUUCAUAUUCUUUUACAUGCAAAUUUGCUAUAGAUAGGUUCAUACUCCAUCCAAUGUCCAGGCAAAUUUGAGACCCAAAUGAGUUUUGAAAACAGUGCUAAUUUAGGGUAGAUAUUUCCAGUAUUUAGGGGUCAUGUACCCUAACAGUUUAAAAAAUUGAGCGCAAACUUGUAUAUUUAUUUCUAAUCUCUAAUUGUGUUAUCAUUGUACUAACCUUUUAGAUAGGUUUUAAAAAGCAUUCUGAAAAAAAAUAAAAUAAAUAAAAAAUAAAAAGCAUUCUGUAAGGAUAAUACCCAAAACUGUAUUCCAGUGGAAAAUCUGGGAUUAAUAGUCUUUGGAGAACAUUGGUCCAAGGGAUUACUAGGGUAGUUAAGAAUCUUUUUUCUGAUUGAACACAGCAGACAUAUUUGCCUGUCCUGGUACAAGUAGAAUAAAGUACUAUAGAAUAGAAAUCAGGAUCCUCUGUAGAAUUUUGGAUUACAAGAUAUCAAGCACUGGUGUGCUGAGGCAUCACCAGUGCAGACAAGAGGGCCUAUCUAUGGAAAUGAAAAGGAAGGAUUUAGCAAAAUAGGCUCUUAAUAUUUUAAAAUUAUUAGCAGACUUGGAGACUCAAGGUUUAGGAUGUAGUAGUGUUUAAUGCCAGAACAUAAAAUUGAAUAGUCCGCUCAUCUCCAAGAAUUAUGAAUUCAAAGGAAAAUUUUCACUGAAUGAAAACUGAUGACUGUUAAGAACUUUAUAUAGAUUUAACACUUCUGUCACUUUAUUAAUUACUGAAAUUGGCUAAAUUUGAUUUUAUUGUAUUCCUAGGAAGGUGAAAGAAAACAUGGAUGAAGCUUCCUGAAUUCGGCUUCUGGCAUGAGUCAAGCUCAGAGAUAGGAAAUGCUGGUGUCAGUAUUCCCUUUCAGAAAAGUCGUCCCAGGGACCAGGAGCUUCAGCCUCACCGGGUUCUUGAGUGCAAUCUCAACACACAGCUCACCAAAUGAAUUUGCCCAUUUUAACAAGAUCCCAGGGGAUUUGAGUGCACGCAGACAUACUUGGAAACUUUGAGCAAUUCCACCCUUUUAAGGUCAUUUUGUUGGAGAAAUGCUUAUAAAGACAGAGGAGAAACAAGCCAGAAAACAAACCUUAUUUCAUUUGUGAAUUUAUUACUCCAUAUAAACAACUAUGGAUAUAUGAGUAUCCUAACAUUUGACAUUAUGCCUCAUGGAGUUUUCUUUGGUUAAAAUACUAUCUGGAAUAGUGCAAACUUCCAUUAUCAUUCAGUUUUUUGUUAAGAUAUAUACUUACCCCUUGGUGUGGUCUUUGCCAUGGAGAGUAGUACGGUAGUAACCCACAAAUACAGAAUAGCCAAUAAACUCCCCUUUCAACUUC
Canis lupus familiaris (dog) is the source of this 1750-nucleotide long non-coding RNA. RefSeq lists it as uncharacterized. The transcript has 3 exons. The record is from RefSeq and is a predicted model, not a curated record. NCBI's taxonomy places the organism in Eukaryota, Metazoa, Chordata, Mammalia, Carnivora, Canidae.